RNAcentral lists this microRNA (22 nucleotides) under Drosophila virilis. RNAcentral describes it as "dvi-miR-9703-3p". The record is from miRBase by way of RNAcentral. Lineage: Eukaryota; Metazoa; Arthropoda; Insecta; Diptera; Drosophilidae.
GCCAGGCUUUGGAUGCACUAAA